Molecule: long non-coding RNA, 1500 nt
Organism: Oryzias latipes (Japanese medaka)
Lineage: Eukaryota; Metazoa; Chordata; Actinopteri; Beloniformes; Adrianichthyidae
Source: RefSeq, a predicted model, not a curated record
AUUAUCUCAGCAUGAGAUGUUUUGCACGAUAUCAGAGCAAAAGCUGUUUGGUUGAAGAACUCUCAGUGGUUUUCCUCUUUGCUUUAGUGCUGCAGUUUUCUAAGCAGACACAGCCUCUGUAUUUAUGGUGAUGAAGUAUAGAUAAACACACAGCUGGACGUUUCAGUCAGGAUGUGAGAUGUGAGAGGAAUACAAAGAAAGUUUAGAUCAUUGCACGUCUGCAUAGAAGGAAGUGAAGCAAACUCACAAACUCACAGCUGUUGUUUGCUCAGUAACCUUCAGUCUACAGACAACAGAAUAGAGUCAAUGAGGGUUUCUGACACCCCUCUGUCCACACUAUGGAAACACAAACGGGAUGAAGAAACAUCUCCUUUAUAAAAAGGACUUUGAUUCCUGUGGUUAAAAUACUCAGUGCUUUUUUUAGAGACAAAAGACGAGAAUGACACGAUCUACUGAGAGCUAGAAUGAUGAAAUAUGAGUCUUGUAAUUGGAGGAGGAGCUUCAGCUUUGAGGAAACUGAGAAGUUCCUGUUUUAGCAGUAAAAGAAGAAAAGCUCCAUCAUUCUCCAUCAGGCAGCAUGAGAGUCUGUCAGAGUCUGAUCUGUUGUCUCUUCCUGACUCUGCAGGACAGAGACUCUCUUGUUGAUGCAGAAACCAACAUCUACACAAAACGUGAAGGAGAAGACAUCACUAUUAGAUGUAAUCUUACAUUUUCAGGGAGCAGAAAGCUGCUCUGUAAGGAAACAUGUGAAGAAGGAAACAUUCUCAUAGAAACAUAUGGAGAUGAAGAUCAGAGAGGAAGAUAUAGCAUUAAAUAUGAAUAUCGAUAUAUUCGAUCAAGUUUUUUAGAUGUGACGAUCACUAAACUCACAAAGUCAGACUCAGGUUUGUAUACAUGUAAGUUGUGUAAAGGAUGGAGUCCAGAUUCAGAAGACAACUUCAAAAUAAUCGUUACAGAAGCAAAAACAGCAGGUGGCCAUGUGGCGUGGAACAAUUACAAAUGCCGCGGCACAUUUGGAGGUCACGCGGGGGCUGUCCGGUAGCAGGCUCCCUUCUACCGGGUGGCAAGCAGCAGGUGACACUUGAUAUGGACGGCUGCCAUCUGCAUUAUGACCACGCCAACAGUUUUCCAAAGAUCGGGGAGCGGCAGCUAAUCUUGAAUAUUCUGCUGAUGCCUCCCCAUCACGCGGUGGCAGUUCUAUUUUGUGUCCGUAGCAUAAUAACAAGAACCUUAUCUACCUGUAAUAUUCCACCUGUUCUCCAGCAGCUCCACUGGCUCCCAAACACAGUUUACAACCAAUUCAAGAUGCUGCUUUUCCCAGCAAUGCCACUCACAGCCUCGCCACCUCACUGAUCAGAACUCACAUCUUCAGGUUUCCCACUCUCAUUGUCUUGUUAUUCCUUAAACCCUUGUGCUAUCCUAGGCACUUUAACAUUGGGAGUUGGGUCAUCUAGACCCACUAGACAGUGUGCUAAACCUUUUUUCUUCAAUGAUUUGUGA